This 511-nucleotide long non-coding RNA is filed under the name Arabidopsis lyrata. RNAcentral describes it as "long non-coding RNA (ALYR_LNC000281)". The record is from RNAcentral. Lineage: Eukaryota; Viridiplantae; Streptophyta; Magnoliopsida; Brassicales; Brassicaceae.
AUCUCUCUACAUUGUAACACUUUGGUUGAACACAAGUAAAGAAGAGAGAGCUACACGAAAUUGAUAAGAGCUUGUCUUUUCUUAUUGAUGUGUUAACCUUUACAAUGAGAUUACAAGGCUUUAUAUAGAAGGAGAACUAGGUUAAGAUGUCUCACAAUUCCCUUUAAUCCUAGCCCUUCUUUUCUCUCUUUAAAUCUCCACCAUUGAAUUCAAAAUAGCUUCUAGAAGGUUGUGGUCCACUUUUGUCUUCUAGAAGGUUGUGGUCCAACUUUGACCAAGACCAAGUUUGAAUUUGAGUCUCCUUCCUUUGUCUCCAACGGCUCUUAGGUCUUCUAGAAGGUCUCUCAUGGGCUUCUCUUAUGUGACACCAAUCUUGCACAUUAUUAUCUUCACUAGGUGACACGAGUUUUGCACAUUCUUGUAUUCAUGCAUAGACUUCAUUUUGCAUCCUCGGUCUUGAUACUUUUGACACCAAUUAUGCACAUUAGGUCAUGAUAACUUUGACACUAAU